AGCGAACGCUGGCGGCAGGCCUAACACAUGCAAGUCGAACGGAUCCUUCGGGAUUAGUGGCGGACGGGUGCGUAACACGUGGUUGACCUACCCUCAAGUAGGGGAUAACGUUCCGAAAGGAAUGCUAAUACCCUAUAAGCUCCCGGUGUUUAGAAGAUUGGGAGAAAAGUUCCGGCGCUUGAGGAGGGGACUGCGAACCA
RNAcentral lists this ribosomal RNA (200 nucleotides) under uncultured bacterium. RNAcentral's name for it is "partial 16S ribosomal RNA". It matches the Rfam family "Bacterial small subunit ribosomal RNA", at positions 29 to 240 of the family's 1533-position model. The record is from RNAcentral.